Molecule: non-coding RNA, 373 nt
Organism: Paramormyrops kingsleyae
Lineage: Eukaryota; Metazoa; Chordata; Actinopteri; Osteoglossiformes; Mormyridae
Source: RefSeq, a predicted model, not a curated record
GCGGCGCGAGAGGAAUCUGUUAACUGAAAUGCUUAGGCAAAAACCAUAACAAUAAAUAGAGUGUAAAUAGGACUCAGAGCAGGGAGAGGACUGAGAGCUAAAGCAGCUGCUUCGGGAAUCUGAGGGACUCUGCUCCUCUGCCCAAACCAAGAAGAUCAAUCAGCUUUUAUCAGAGACUCUCAUCCAAAAUUUCAGCCAAAGAAUUAUGGGCCGAGUCGGCUGCAACGGCGAAAACAGCGUCUGGAGAGGAAGAGAGAGGCUCUGCACUCCCUCAGGACUAGGGCAUAGAAGUGGGUCCUUCAUACAUGCCUGCUAUAUAAUGGACAAAUCCUCUUUAAUGUUUUUGUCAUAAAGCAGCAACUGGGAAAAGAUG